AAAAUGACUCAGGACACAUUUCUCAGAACAUGUCCUGGUUAAGCAAGGUAUGAUUGCUUUUCAUUCUUGUGAGUAUCAUCCAGACACAUAUAUUGAUAUAUAGUUUUGACAUUUAAUAAUAGUUGAGAGGCUACAGUCUUCACAGCACCCUCUACUUUUCAGCAUCCAGAAUUUACCCUUUUUUUGUACACUCAGUUCCUCCUAUGUUGAUAGCCCAGCCAACAUAUAUCAGCUCUUGCAUAUGGGUGGCAUGGACUCAAGAGACGAUCUGAGAGGAGAGAAUCAAAGAGGUAGAGGGAAGGAAAGAAAGCCUACUUUGGUCUAUGUAGUAAAGGCAGUUGGUCAAAGAGAGGAGAAAAAAAUGCCUAGACAGCAGCUGGUGAGAGAGUUAAAUUUUGAGUUGCUUGGCAGAAAAUUGGGGGCUGUAUCAGUCAGGACAGGCAGCAUCAUGCUGCAGUAAUGACAAACCCAACAAUAACAUCUCAGUGGCAAGUACCAUGAGAGGCUGCUUUUUCACUUGUUGUUACAUACACAUGAUGGUGUUCUUUCCAGAGAUGGCUGGUCUUCUGAGUCAUUUGUCAUUCUCCUUCUAGGAUGCAGGCUGAGGAGCAGCCACAAGUGAAGUGUUGCCUGUCACCUCAGCAGUGGAAAAAAGAGGGCACUUCCUCUUUUUUCAGGGACUACUCUCAUUUCUCCUGCUGGAUGUGACCAUGUUACCCUGUGGGUGACUCAGACCACCUUUGCUCCCUUCUCAGUGGCCAAACCCCAUUAUAUGACCACCAAUGAGUUGGAUAGGGCAGGGCUGUAAUGCUCCCAUAGGUAACAGGGCUUUCAAUCAAGGAAGAAUCAUGCCUUCUGCUUUAGGGUGGAAGGGAAUGUGAUCUCCUAACACUCAUAGUAGAUUAUGAGCACACAUCCUCAUGUGAAAAUACUGUGGGCACUGUGCAUAAAAUAAGAUUUGUUUAAUUAUCUCUGGUGGUGGCAGUUCCUUCCUCAAAGUCAUAUUUGUCCUCACAUCAACUGGGCUUCACACCUCCCAGAGUCACAGGGCUGGACAGGGUCUUCCUCACCUGAAGCAAUUCAUUUUGAGAUGUAUUUUCUCCCAUUCUGUAGGUUCCCUGUUCAGUCUGAUGCUAGUUUCUUUCGCUGUGCAGAAGUCUUUUAGUUCAAUUAGAUCCCAUUUGUCAAUUUUGGCUUCUGUUGCCAUUGUUUUUGGUGUUUUAGUCAUGAGGUCUUUGCCCAUGCCUAUGAUGUCCUAAAUGGUAUUGCCUAGGUUUUCUUCCAGGGUUUUUACAGUUUUAGGUCUUCCGUUUAAGUCUUUAAUCCAUCUUGAGUUAAUUUUUGUAUAAGGUAUACAAAUUUUUGUAUAAGGUAUAAUUUUGUAUAAGGAAGGGAUCCAGUUUCAGUUUUCUGCAUAUGGCACACCGCCACCAGCCCUCCCAACAGACGGGGCCUGGUCAAGACGACAGCCACUGAAAGCCACUCUCAGCAUGGAGCAGGGAGGCCUUGGGGUCGAAUUACCCUGGGAUUGAAUUACUAGAAGCACACUCAAAAUGAAGAAAGUUGCUUCUAAAAAUAGGAAAAAGAAACCCACACGGAUGAAAGUCAAAGAGGAGAAAAAGCAGAACAAAAACCAUUUGGCUUUACAAACAUCCACACAAUUUUAAAGUAGGGUUCCAUCCUGUCCCUCUGGAACAACAACGGCUAUGACGAAAAAGCAGCCAGGUUCUCUUUUCCUACAAGACCUGCUUUUUCAACUUCUUGGUGAAAUGUGAUGUAGCAGCAGAGAGGCCCAGCUUGCACCCUGAGAUCACAGGAGCGCUUGCGGGUGGCUUCAUCUUUAACCCCUUGAGGCCACCAAACAUCCAUUACCUGGCCAGGCAGAGCUGAAGACGACCCUCACGGGGCUCUAACCUGAGCCCAUAGCAAACUGUUUUCCCUGGAUCUGGGACAGAAUCCCUUCAGAAGCCCACUCAUGGGCAAGGCAGCUUCGAGUGGACUUGCAGCUGUUGAGAACUGACCUCCCAGUGGGAGCUCGGGCCUUGAUUCCCCACUGACUCCUCAAAGUGUCUCCCAGAGCCUAAACUGUCUCCCAGAGCCUGUCUCCCAGAGCCUAAACUGUCUCUCAGAGCCUAAACUGUCUUUCAGAGCCUGUCUCCCAGAGCCUGUCUCCCAGAGCCUAAACUGUCUCCCAGAGCCUAAACUGUCUCCCAGAGCCUGUCUCCCAGAGCCUAAACUGUCUCCCAGAGCCUGUUUCCCAGAGCCUAAACUGUCUCCCAGAGCCUGUCUCCCAGAGCCUAAACUGUCUCUCAGAGCCUAAACUGUCUUUCAGAGCCUGUCUCCCAGAGCCUAAACUGUCUUUCAAAGCCUAAACUGUCUUUCAGAGCCUGUCUCCCAAAGUCUGUCUCCCAGAGCCUGUCUCCCAGAGCCUGUCUCCCAGAGCCUAAACUGUCUUUCAAAGCCUAAACUGUCUUUCAGAGCCUGUCUCCCAAAGUCUGUCUCCCAGAGCCUGUCUCCCAGAGCCUAACUGUCUCCCAGAGCCUGUCUCCCAGAGCCUAAACUGUCUCCCAGAGCCUAACUGCCUCCCAGAGCCUAAACUGUCAGCUCUGCAGGGUCCUAUUCCCUGCCACCUUCGAAGCCAUCUCAGCACGACUCACCUGCUGAGUGGCAGGCAGGGCGAAUGGUCCCCUACUCACCUUUGCUGGCUUUUCAUUGACAAAUUGCCUUUGUCCAUACAAGAAAUGAAUUCUCAAGAUAUAUCUUAAAUGCCCCCUGGUUGUGAACAUGGCUGAGGGUGCUAUGUAAUAAUAAGUAGUUUUUGUCUUCAAAUAAUAAUUCUAGCAUAUGAUCAAAAGCAAAUGCAUCAAGCUUUGUAACAGGCAACAGCCCCAGCUCGGGGGUUUGGGAUGCCUUGACCAGCAGCCUGCAAACCUGGCUUCAUGGUGAGGAAAGGCGUUGCGAUCCUUUUCUAGGGCUGGGGAAUCUUAGCAGAUCCUGAGAGCUUCAUUUCAUCUGCGGACUCCAACAGAAGCAUUUUGCUUAUUUUGAUUUGGGGAAUACAAAGGGUUUUAAAAAUCAUUUUAAUUUUGACACUUAACUGGGAUAAGAACAAAGAAACCCUCUUAGAAAAAGAAAGGAGAUUUUUCACUUGAAAUAAACCACCCUAACUGUCUGAUGCUCUCAUCAGCUCCUGCCAGGACUCUAGUGGGUGACUGAGGCCGCCUUUCACCCUAAUGAGUCCAUCCAUCCUGAUGACGUCACCACGAGAAGACACCUCACAUCCACCUGCAUCAACACCCAUCAAGGGCGGGUGGAAACUCAGUGAACAUCUUCUCUCCCACAGGGCUCCCCGAGUGUCACAGCCGCUGACAGCCUGCUCUGUGUGGCCCCAAGGACCUCACCCAGCCGGCCACGCUCCCCGUGGCACAGUGGCCCUCCUCCGCUUCUCUCCGAAUGAUGUGAAGCAAAUGUUACUGGAGAGCCUUCUUUCUGCCCUCUGGAGCGAUUCUUCUUAAAGUGAGCUCCCUAGAGCACUGCCCUGUCCCCCAGAUGUGCCCUGGAGCUCUGAUGCCCAAAUCCAAUGCUGGAGCCCACAUGCCAGGCGUGGGAAUGCCAAAGGACACGAAGCCAGGGGAAGUAUGCUCAGAAAAUGUUCAUAAUGUAAAAAGUCUUCAUUUCAUGCCUAAAUUGUCUGUUAGAAUUAAAUGUAAGCUCAUAUCAAAUUUAGCACAAAUGUAUAGGCCUAAUUAUUUUUAGUUUAAUGUAGAGAUUAUGUAGAAUUUUGUAACUCAACUAGUUUGGGAACCACUUGAAAGGAUACAGCAACAACAGGCCAAUUAAACAGGAAAUUCUUGUCCUCUUCAAAGAGGAGAAGAUGAGAACAGAGACUAAGAAGGAUAAAGGAGAGAAUAAGACCAGGAAAUACUUCCCAGAAAGAGGAGGCAGGAUUUCGCGUUCAACAGAUGAGAAAGAGGACAGAGAAGAGCAGAAAACUAUUAAAAGGUAGGAUUCUGAUUCGAUGGGCAGAAAUGAUUUUUACAAUGAGAAAAGUUGCCCAUAAUUCUUGACUGGCAAUGUAUUUUACAAUGCUGUAAGCAUU
This 4099-nucleotide long non-coding RNA is filed under the name Homo sapiens (human). Its description in RNAcentral is "HSALNT0324814". The record is from RNAcentral. Lineage: Eukaryota; Metazoa; Chordata; Mammalia; Primates; Hominidae.